GCGAGGGUGGUGGAACGGCAGACACGCGAGUUUGAGGGGCUCGUGGUAGAAAUACCGUGCGGGUUCAAGUCCCGCCCCUCGCACCA
Molecule: transfer RNA, 86 nt
Filed under: Binataceae bacterium (SeqCode)
Lineage: Bacteria; Candidatus Binatota; Binatia (SeqCode); Binatales (SeqCode); Binataceae (SeqCode)
Also listed under: 1 other name
Description: tRNA-Leu
Rfam family: tRNA
About the family: Transfer RNA (tRNA) molecules are approximately 80 nucleotides in length. Their secondary structure includes four short double-helical elements and three loops (D, anti-codon, and T loops).
Source: RNAcentral